RNAcentral lists this long non-coding RNA (1539 nucleotides) under Sus scrofa (pig). Its description in RNAcentral is "lncRNA (ENSSSCG00050075108.1)". Lineage: Eukaryota; Metazoa; Chordata; Mammalia; Artiodactyla; Suidae. The record is from RNAcentral.
CACAUCUGGUCACCUCCAUGUCUGAUCACCUGCACAUCUGGUCACCUCCAUGUCUGAUCACCUCCACAUCUGGGCAUCUGGGCAUCUUCAUGUCUGUUCACCUCCACAUCUGGUCACCUCUGAAUCUGAUCACUUGCAUGUCUGAUGAUCUCCAUGUGUGGUCACCUCCAUAUGGGAUUACCUCCAUGUCUGAUCACCUCCACAUCUGGUCACCUCCAUGUCUGGUCACCUCCACAUCCACUCACCUCCAUAUCCGAUUGGGUCCUCAUUCUCCACCACCCACAGGUGAUGUCUCCUUGCUCUGCCUUCAGCAGGAACUGGUAGGUCAGUUUAACUGGAAUCCUCUCACCCCUGAUGUUCCCGUUAGUCGUUUUCCAUCCACAGAUCCCACCUACUCCUUGGCAAUAAACCCCCUCUUGGUCACCUCUUUGGAGUUGAGUCUGGCUCUGUAUACGGGUUGCUUUUCCCAUAUUGCAAUAGUCCCAAAUGAAAUCUGCUUUUACCAGUUUAACUUUUUCCAUACUCUAUUUUUUCUUUAACAGCAGUAGUAAUAGUAGCAGUUGUUGUUGUAGCAGUAAUUGGAAUAGGCAUAGUCAGGGGAGUAGCCGUAGUAGCAACAGUGGAAGUCGUUGUUGUGUAGCCGUUGCUCUGGUAGUUGUUGUGGUACCAACGGUAUUUAUUACAGCACUAGUUGUAGAUGUUGCAGUCAGAAUACUUGUAAAACCAGUUGUGGUGGUAGUAGUUGAAGUAGUACCAGGGGUUUUGGUAGGAGUAGUAGCCAUCAUCAUGGUAGCCGUUUAGCAGCGGUAAUAGCAGCAGGUGAGGUGACAGUCAUUGUAGUAGAACUGGUUGUAGUCAUGGCAGUUGUACCAUGGUAGCAGCUGUGAUGGGGGUGCCCGUGCUGGUGGUCAUGAUUAUAACUGUAGUAAAUGUUAGUAGUGGUUGUGUGAUGGUGACAGUGGGACUAAUCAUUGGACUCAUUGUAGCACUAGCGAUACUUGUAGGAUACUAGUGAUACUUUGUAGCAGAUGUUGUGUAAGUGAGAGCUGUAGUGAUAACUGCAAGAGCUGUGGUGGUAGGAGUACUAAUUGGUGUAAUAACUGUAGUUGUGGCACUAGAGUAGUGUUUGUCUUAGUAGCAGAUUAAGUGCUGUAAGCGUAGAGUUAAGUAGUUCUUGUGGUGGGUCUAGUAGUUCUAAUUAUAAUAAUUGCAGUCGUACCACUAGUAGUAAUUGUUGUAGUGUUUGUAGUAAGAGGAGUUGUGAGAUAACUGUAGUACCGCAUGGAAAGGUUGUGGUGGGGGUGGCAGUAGAACUCAUUGUAGUCGUAGCACUGGUAUAAUUGUAGAAGUUUGCGGUAGUCGUGGUUGCAGUUUUUGUAGCAGUGGCAGUUGUACUAGUUAUGGCAGUCAAAGAAGUUUGAUAAUGGGAGUUCCCAUCGUGGCUCAGUGGAAACAAAUCUGACUAGUAACCAUGAGGAUGCGGGUUCGAUCCCUGGCCUCAGUCAGUGCACUGAGGAUCCAGCAUUGCCGUGAGCUGUG